Molecule: small RNA, 107 nt
Filed under: Marmota monax (woodchuck)
Lineage: Eukaryota; Metazoa; Chordata; Mammalia; Rodentia; Sciuridae
Source: RNAcentral
GCUGGGUAUGGUGGUGCAUGUCUGUAAUCCCAGUGACUUGAGAGGCUGAGGCAGGAGGAUCACAAGUUGGAGACCAGCCUCAGCAACUUAGCAAGAACCUGUCUCAG